GCCCCACUAGUCUGGGAUACCACUUGGAAACAGGUGCUAAUACCGGAUAAGAAAGCAGAUCGCAUGAUCAGCUUUUAAAAGGCGGCGUAAGCUGUCGCUAUGGGAUGGCCCCGCGGUGCAUUAGCUAGUUGGUAAGGUAAAGGCUUACCAAGGCUAUGAUGCAUAGCCGAGUUGAGAGACUGAUCGGCCACAUUGGGACUGAGACACGGCCCAAACUCCUACGGGAGGCAGCAGUU
RNAcentral lists this ribosomal RNA (236 nucleotides) under uncultured Lactobacillus sp. RNAcentral's name for it is "partial 16S ribosomal RNA". It matches the Rfam family "Bacterial small subunit ribosomal RNA", at positions 128 to 355 of the family's 1533-position model. The record is from RNAcentral. Lineage: Bacteria; Bacillati; Bacillota; Bacilli; Lactobacillales; Lactobacillaceae.